AAUAUUGCGCAAUGGGGGCAACCCUGACGCAGCAACGCCGCGUGUGGGAAGAAGGCUUUCGGGUUGUAAACCACUUUUGCCCGGGACGAAAAGGGGCGUCAGAAUACGGCGCUUCGAUGACGGUACCGGGAGAAUAAGCCACGGCUAACUCUGUGCCAGCAGCCGCGGUAAGACAGAGGUGGCAAGCGUUGUUCGGAGUUACUGGGCGUAAAGAGUCUGUAGGUGGUUUGUCAAGUCUUUGGUGAAAGGCCGUGGCUUAACCAUGGGAAUGCCAAAGAGACUGGCAGACUGGAGGCUGGGAGAGGGAAGCGGAAUUUCUGGUGUAGCGGUGAAAUGCGUAGAUAUCAGAAGGAAGGCCGGUGGCGAAGGCGGCUUCCUGGAACAGGCCUGACACUGAGAGACGAAAGCGUGGGGAGCAA
Molecule: ribosomal RNA, 419 nt
Filed under: uncultured Leptospirillum sp.
Lineage: Bacteria; Pseudomonadati; Nitrospirota; Nitrospiria; Nitrospirales; Nitrospiraceae
Description: bacterial SSU rRNA
Rfam family: Bacterial small subunit ribosomal RNA
Source: RNAcentral